UUGGAGGAUUUGAAGAUUUCAACU
Molecule: microRNA, 24 nt
Filed under: Solanum tuberosum (potato)
Lineage: Eukaryota; Viridiplantae; Streptophyta; Magnoliopsida; Solanales; Solanaceae
Description: stu-miR8024b
Source: miRBase by way of RNAcentral